GACGGAGGGUGCAAGCGUUGUUCGGAUUUACUGGGCGUAAAGGGCGCGUAGGCGGCCACCGCAAGUCACUUGUGAAAUCUCCGGGCUUAACCCGGAAAGGUCAACUGAUACUGCGGGGCUAGAGUGCAGAAGGGGCAACUGGAAUUCUCGGUGUAGCGGUGAAAUGCGUAGAUAUCGAGAGGAACACCUGCGGCGAAGGCGGGUUGCUGGGCUGACACUGACGCUGAGGCGCGAAAGCCAGGGGAGCGAACGGG
RNAcentral lists this ribosomal RNA (254 nucleotides) under uncultured bacterium. RNAcentral's name for it is "partial 16S ribosomal RNA". It matches the Rfam family "Bacterial small subunit ribosomal RNA", at positions 524 to 776 of the family's 1533-position model. The record is from RNAcentral.